This 309-nucleotide ribosomal RNA is filed under the name Triticum aestivum (bread wheat). Its description in RNAcentral is "partial small subunit ribosomal RNA". The record is from RNAcentral. Lineage: Eukaryota; Viridiplantae; Streptophyta; Magnoliopsida; Poales; Poaceae.
AUGGCCACGGGGAGAAUUCUGAUGCGGUCCAGUAGCUCCGGCGACCUCUACCCGUUUUUCCGAUCCAAUAAAGACGGGGGCAUGGCCUUCACCAUCUCCGGAGCAGGCGACUUGUGGCACUUGCGGCUAGGGCACCCUAGUUCUACUUCUGUUUCCAUAUUAGCAAACAAUUUCCUUGAUUCCUGUAAUAAGAGCAAUGAUUCUCGUGUGUGUGAAUCUUGCAAGUUAGGCAAGCAACCUCGUUUACCAUUUCCACAAUCUUUUUCAUAUACUACUGCUCCUUUCCAAUUAAUCCACUGUGAUCUCUGG